CGCGUAAGUGGUUUGUUAAGUCGGAUGUGAAAGCCCCGGGCUCAACCUGGGAACUGCACCCGAUACUGGCCGACUAGAGUGCGGGAGAGGGAGGUAGAAUUCCACGUGUAGCGGUGAAAUGCGUAGAUAUGUGGAGGAAUACCGGUGGCGAAGGCGGCCUCCUGGCCUGACACUGACGCUGAGGUGCGAAAGCGUGGGGAGCAAACA
RNAcentral lists this ribosomal RNA (207 nucleotides) under uncultured bacterium. RNAcentral describes it as "partial 16S ribosomal RNA". It matches the Rfam family "Bacterial small subunit ribosomal RNA", at positions 568 to 774 of the family's 1533-position model. The record is from RNAcentral.